CCUACGGGGGGCAGCAGUGGGGAAUAUUGGACAAUGGGGGCAACCCUGAUCCAGCCAUGCCGCGUGUGUGAAGAAGGCCCUCGGGUUGUAAAGCACUUUCAGUGAGGAAGAACGCCUGGUGGUUAAUACCCAUCAGGAAAGACAUCACUCACAGAAGAAGCACCGGCUAACUCCGUGCCAGCAGCCGCGGUAAUACGGAGGGUGCGAGCGUUAAUCGGAAUUACUGGGCGUAAAGCGCGCGUAGGUGGCUUGAUAAGCCGGUUGUGAAAGCCCCGGGCUCAACCUGGGAACGGCAUCCGGAACUGUCAAGCUAGAGUGCAGGAGAGGAAGGUAGAAUUCCCGGUGUAGCGGUGAAAUGCGUAGAGAUCGGGAGGAAUACCAGUGGCGAAGGCGGCCUUCUGGACUGACACUGACACUGAGGUGCGAAAGCGUGGGUAGCAAACAGGAUUAGAUACCCUUGCAGUC
This 465-nucleotide ribosomal RNA is filed under the name Vreelandella stevensii. Its description in RNAcentral is "partial 16S ribosomal RNA". It matches the Rfam family "Bacterial small subunit ribosomal RNA", at positions 338 to 795 of the family's 1533-position model. The record is from RNAcentral. Lineage: Bacteria; Pseudomonadati; Pseudomonadota; Gammaproteobacteria; Oceanospirillales; Halomonadaceae.